UACGAAGGGUGCAAGCGUUACUCGGAAUUACUGGGCGUAAAGCGUGCGUAGGUGGUCGUUUAAGUCUGUUGUGAAAGCCCUGGGCUCAACCUGGGAACUGCAGUGGAAACUGGACGACUAGAGUGUGGUAGAGGGUAGCGGAAUUCCCGGUGUAGCAGUGAAAUGCGUAGAGAUCCGGAGGAAGACCGGUGGCGAAGGCGGUCUGCUGGGCAGUUUCUGACACUGAUGCGCGACAGCGUGGGGAGCAAACAGG
RNAcentral lists this ribosomal RNA (253 nucleotides) under uncultured bacterium. RNAcentral's name for it is "partial 16S ribosomal RNA". It matches the Rfam family "Bacterial small subunit ribosomal RNA", at positions 524 to 776 of the family's 1533-position model. The record is from RNAcentral.